GACGAACGCUGGCGGCGUGCUUAACACAUGCAAGUCGAACGGGCCCGCCCCUGUUUUUGGGGGUGGGUUGAGUGGCGAACGGGUGAGUAUCACGUGAGUAACCUGCCCCCUGCUCCUGGAUAACUGCUUGAAAGGGCGGCUAAUACGGGGUGUGCCGGCUGGUCCGCAUGGGCCUGGUCGGGAUAGUUUCAUCUUCGGGUGUUUCGGUGGGGGAUGGGCUCGCGGCCUAUCAGCUUGUUGGUGGGGUGAUGGCCCACCAAGGCGGUGACGGGUAGCCGGCCUGAGAGGGUGGGCGGCCACACUGGGACUGAGACACGGCCCAGACUACUGCGGGAGGCAGCAGUGGGGGGUAUUGCACAAUGGGCGGAAGCCUGAUGCAGCGACGUCGCGUGAGGGAUGGAGGCCUUCGGGUGGUGAACCUCUUUCUCCGGUGGUGAAGGCCCUGUCCGUUGCGGCGGGGUUGACGGUAGCCGGGUAUGAAGCGCCGGCUAACUACGUG
Molecule: ribosomal RNA, 499 nt
Filed under: uncultured bacterium
Lineage: Bacteria
Description: partial 16S ribosomal RNA
Rfam family: Bacterial small subunit ribosomal RNA
Source: RNAcentral